GAUGAACGCUGGCUUCGUGCCUAAUACAUGCAAGUCGAGCGAACGGACGAGAAGCUUGCUUCUCUGAUGUUAGCGGCGGACGGGUGAGUAACACGUGGAUAACCUACCUAUAAGACUGGGAUAACUUCGGGAAACCGGAGCUAAUACCGGAUAAUAUUUUGAACCGCAUGGUUCAAAAGUGAAAGACGGUCUUGCUGUCACUUAUAGAUGGAUCCGCGCUGCAUUAGCUAGUUGGUAAGGUAACGGCUUACCAAGGCAACGAUGCAUAGCCGACCUGAGAGGGUGAUCGGCCACACUGGAACUGAGACACGGUCCAGACUCCUACGGGAGGCAGCAGUAGGGAAUCUUCCGCAAUGGGCGAAAGCCUGACGGAGCAACGCCGCGUGAGUGAUGAAGGUCUUCGGAUCGUAAAACUCUGUUAUUAGGGAAGAACAUAUGUGUAAGUAACUGUGCACAUCUUGACGGUACCUAAUCAGAAAGCCACGGCUAACUACGUGCCAGCAGCCGCGGUAAUACGUAGGUGGCAAGCGUUAUCCGGAAUUAUUGGGCGUAAAGCGCGCGUAGGCGGUUUUUUAAGUCUGAUGUGAAAGCCCACGGCUCAACCGUGGAGGGUCAUUGGAAACUGGAAAACUUGAGUGCAGAAGAGAAAAGUGGAAUUCCAUGUGUAGCGGUGAAAUGCGCAGAGAUAUGGAGGAACACCAGUGGCGAAGGCGACUUUCUGGUCUGUAACUGACGCUGAUGUGCGAAAGCGUGGGGAUCAAACAGGAUUAGAUACCCUGGUAGUCCACGCCGUAAACGAUGAGUGCUAAGUGUUAGGGGGUUUCCGCCCCUUAGUGCUGCAGCUAACGCAUUAAGCACUCCGCCUGGGGAGUACGACCGCAAGGUUGAAACUCAAAGGAAUUGACGGGGACCCGCACAAGCGGUGGAGCAUGUGGUUUAAUUCGAAGCAACGCGAAGAACCUUACCAAAUCUUGACAUCCUUUGACAACUCUAGAGAUAGAGCUUUCCCCUUCGGGGGACAAAGUGACAGGUGGUGCAUGGUUGUCGUCAGCUCGUGUCGUGAGAUGUUGGGUUAAGUCCCGCAACGAGCGCAACCCUUAAGCUUAGUUGCCAUCAUUAAGUUGGGCACUCUAAGUUGACUGCCGGUGACAAACCGGAGGAAGGUGGGGAUGACGUCAAAUCAUCAUGCCCCUUAUGAUUUGGGCUACACACGUGCUACAAUGGACAAUACAAAGGGCAGCGAAACCGUGAGGUCAAGCAAAUCCCAUAAAGUUGUUCUCAGUUCGGAUUGUAGUCUGCAACUCGACUACAUGAAGCUGGAAUCGCUAGUAAUCGUAGAUCAGCAUGCUACGGUGAAUACGUUCCCGGGUCU
Molecule: ribosomal RNA, 1372 nt
Filed under: uncultured bacterium
Lineage: Bacteria
Description: bacterial SSU rRNA
Rfam family: Bacterial small subunit ribosomal RNA
Source: RNAcentral